This is a small nuclear RNA of Ochotona princeps (American pika), 110 nucleotides long. The record is from Ensembl. NCBI's taxonomy places the organism in Eukaryota, Metazoa, Chordata, Mammalia, Lagomorpha, Ochotonidae.
UGUCCUGCUGACUUACUUACAGUACACUCAACCUGUAACAAUACAGAGGAGAUUAGCGUGGCCCCAGCUCAAGGAUGAAUUGUUUGACUUCUCUUAUGAUAUGCAUUUCA